Mesocricetus auratus (golden hamster) is the source of this 532-nucleotide long non-coding RNA. RefSeq lists it as uncharacterized. The transcript is spliced from 4 exons. Lineage: Eukaryota; Metazoa; Chordata; Mammalia; Rodentia; Cricetidae. The record is from RefSeq and is a predicted model, not a curated record.
UAUGAGCUGAAGUGUCCUCUGCACCUCAUCCCCAAACAGUUGCAGAUUGUCAAGUCCUGUGGUGAGGUCUGUGAUCAAAUUUGUAUAAGGAUUCCCCAAAGAUGGUGUCACACCCAGACGACAGGAAGCAAAUUUAAGAACAUGAUACCCACGUUCCCAAGAGGAUGAAGAAAGAGGUAGAAGUCCCAGAAACUGUGGGCCAGCCAGCCUGCUGGAGCAUAGCAGUGAACAAGAAGCCGUUUCUCAAAGAAAGCAGAAUGUGAAGCCCACUAUUCAGAUACUCUACGGAUGCAGAGCAUCUCCAGGAUUCCUUUCUUCUCUUUAACAACAUCAAGACUGAGACAGCAUCGCUGCUAAUGAAGUGCAGGUUAGCAGGGCUCAGUCACACACCCGUUCCCCAGCGCAUCUCCACCUGUGGCUUCUCCAUGUGGUCCUUCGCACACUCUUCGUUAAUAUUGCUGAAAUUGGAAUCACAGAAGCAAUUCUGACUGAAAGAGCAACGUUUCAAUUAAACAAAUAAUCAAAUUCAAAA